Bombyx mori (domestic silkworm) is the source of this 84-nucleotide non-coding RNA. The record is from Rfam. Lineage: Eukaryota; Metazoa; Arthropoda; Insecta; Lepidoptera; Bombycidae.
UUAACUCAAAUUUGUAUGGAGUUAGAACGUUUGCCAACGUUUGCCGCUAGGGGCGCUGUUCUAACUGCAUACAAAUAUGAGUAA